GCGAAGUGUUUCCCAGCACACCGCCGGGAAGACCCAGGAGGUCCCCUCUUCUCAACCCGGGUCUCGUUCCCAGGGAUCGUCCUGCCCGCAGCAUGCCUGGAUGGGCUUCUAACCCACAGAAAGUGCUUCCCCACGUGCAGGGCAGCAAGAGGUUCCAAACACAAGAAAAUGUCCUGGGGCUGCCCUUCCGGUUAAAAAAGGAAACCAACCAGGAUGGAAAACACACAAAAUCUAGAUGAUACAGGAGUUAAACGGUGCAUAGGAGCCGUUUGCCUGAGACGUGCAGCCCCGGGAAAUGGGCCCUCGGGGGCGUGUGAGGUGCACUGGGCACCGUGGCCACUCGCCGAGACACGACUCCUUCCCUAGCAGCUAAGGCCUCGUUCGCGGCGGGAGGCUGCACAGUCCGCCCUGAAGGGACCUCCUGCAGGAGGCAAAGGCUCCACGGGACAGGCACCUUGGGAGGGAGGACACACCGAGAAGCUGCAGGACAGCAAGGCCCCGCGCCCGCCGUCCAGGGUCUGUGUUCGCGGCGGCGGGCACAGGUCUCACCAUCACCCCUUUUGGUGGGGGGAGGGUAGGGCCGGCAGUGGUCCAGGGCCAUUUCACUGGGAGGUGGGGACACGUUCCUUCAACGGCUGCCUUCACGACGCUCCCGUUGGGAUAUAAUUUUCUUCUUCAUUUUGAUUUAAUCCAGUUCUAAUCAGAUUGAACUUGCUCUUUCUUGGGCUUCCUGCCAACUGGCAGGACCCUCUCUUCCUUCCCAGGGAUGAGUCAGACUGACAGCUGACACGCGGAUGGAAGCCUUGUCUCCUUCUGCAGUCGGGCACGGGCGGGCGUGCAGAGAGGCCCCUGCCCUCGCGCCCGCCACUCCUCCCGGGGCCGUGGGCUUGCCCUCCAGAGACAGCACCCCGCAAGUCACCCCUCACUGCAGCUCCAGGCCCCCUGACCAUCUUCCUGCCAGCGCACAUUUGCAGAUCCUGCUCCUUCCCAUGAGCGGGUUUGGGUUGCAGGGCGACCACACAGCUGAGGGCUCACUGUGGCUCUUCUGGAUGACUUUGCAGAGAGUUCAAGUUCUUGUUAUAAAAUGGCUUCUCCUGAGCCGGGAUCAGCCUGCAGUAGGGAAGGGUGAUCUGGAUGUAGUGUCAGAUUUGCUCCUGAUCUCGGGGGAGGAAUGUGGAAACACACCUCUUCAAGGUUCAGAGCUCUGGGUUUGUCCCAGCUCAAAAUCAUUCAACGUACGUCCACCGGGCAGCGUCAGGAAGAGGGGAGCUGGGCCGUGCCUGGUCCUGACACUGCCCAGCAGAGGGGACACUGCACAGGCCGCUGGGCACCUCUGGGCUCCCUCCCUCCCCUCUGAGAGGAGAGGGCUGUGGUUGUCACGUGUGUUGAUUCUACUCAGUGAAUCCGUUCUGACAGCCCCCGGGUGAACCAUCGCCCCUGUAUGACAGCGUCACUGUGGGCCAAGGGUUGGACGUAAGUGGCCUCUCUCCAUCACAGCCACCUAGAGGUCGUGCUAUUUAUGAUCCGUGUUUGCUCAGACAGGUGAUGAACGUGUAAGAACACUGGGCAUCCAGCAAGCACAGAGCUGGAACCUCCAAACUUCUGCCUCGAGUGGGGUGAUGGGUCGAUUUCUCAGUGCUUUCCCUGAUGGCUCACUAUGAACACAGGGCAUUUUCUUGUGUUGGACACAAACUGAAAACUCUCCCACCCUCCAGGCAGCUGACCAGGGCGUCUGUGGUCCUGUGUGUCGUUUUAACCCGGACAGAGGAGCACGUGGCAAAGGUCCGGUGUGAUGGGGCCUCUCACCACCGCCCGUGGGAAGGGGUAGGGUUGGAGGCGGGGUCUGCCCUCUCCCACAUCUAAGACUGAUCCCGACCCCCCUGUGAGGCGGCGGCUGCAGCCAGAGGUGGGAGAGCGCUGAAGAGGCGCUUCCCUCCUCUGCCCGACUCCCCGACACUCACGUCCCCGGACGUGCAGGAAAGCCUCGAAGCAGCUGCCCUCCCCCACGUGGCAAGGUGGCCGAGUGUCACCAGGAGCCUUCAGGUGAUGGCCCUGGCGUGGCUGCUGGGGGGUCCGGAGGUGGCCACCCAGGGCUGCUCGGUGCCCCGGUCACAUGCUGCCUCGGCCACUUUUCAGCUUCACCUGAGUGAAGGCCGGAAUUAGGUGGGCCUUACAUUGGACAAAGUCGCAGGAAAGCAUGAUCCACGGCUGUAAACGUCUUUCAGAGAAAGACAGGGACUGGUCAGUCUGACCAGAGCCAAAGAGAAGUCGAAUUUCAGUCUGUUCCGUUUCUUUGCAUUGCAGCUCAAGUCCUCACGCCCUGGCCCAGGGGACACAGGGUGAGGGGGACUGAGUCGUCACUGCUAGCCUGCGGGGCCCGCGGCCGGAGAGCCCGGGCGGGUGCCCAGCUGCCAGGCUGCUGCUCGGCUGGAAAGCACCCAGGCCACAAAUCUCCAAUCCUGUGGCCAAGCCCUUCCCGCCCAAGGGGCCCGGCUGCUGGGGGCCCAGGAGAAGUGCCCAGCCCACCUGGACUGCUGGGGCGGGCAGGGCUGGCCGGAGGCAGGUGGGCCUGGGUACCUCCCGCCGCAGCCCACACCAUUGGGCUCCCCCUCGCACGUCUGCCCUCCGCCCAGCCAGGCCAAGGACAUCCCUUCGAGGCUCCCGAGGGGGACCCGAGUCCCAGGUUCAUCUGAGUCAGAAAAGAACGAAGCCAGAGGAGCAGACAGAGUAAAUAAAAUAAAUGGAAAAUUCAA
Molecule: non-coding RNA, 2753 nt
Organism: Vicugna pacos (alpaca)
Lineage: Eukaryota; Metazoa; Chordata; Mammalia; Artiodactyla; Camelidae
Source: RefSeq, a predicted model, not a curated record